Molecule: long non-coding RNA, 837 nt
Filed under: Equus asinus (donkey)
Lineage: Eukaryota; Metazoa; Chordata; Mammalia; Perissodactyla; Equidae
Description: lncRNA (ENSEASG00005037240.1)
Source: RNAcentral
AAAUAUGAAACAUGGCCACCUAGAUCAAAGGAAAGAAAUGACUGAUGCUACUUUAUCUGCCUUUAAAUUCUCCCUUUUUUUCUGGUGAGAAUGUUUGGAAUAUCUUAAGCCUCCGGAGCUAGACUGCCUGAAUUCCUCUCCUGACUCUGCCCCUACUCACUGUGAAACUUGGGUCCUGGCACACAGCUCCUAAAUCCCUUGGAAUUUCUGGAGUGGCUGAGCAUGUUCUUGCAGUACUAAGAUGUCAGCACGCAGAGGAAGGAUGAAUGCUGAAGAGAUGUAGGGAGGGCCUCGACAAUGUCUCCUGCAGAGGAAAUAAAGAAACAAAAGAAUGGGAGGAAAUCAACUUGCAUGCUCAAGUGGAGCAAAGCACUGGGUAAAUGUGCACACGUUGCAGGGCUCUGCUGCUCGCCGGUGGAGCCCCGAGGAGGAGAAUGAAGAUGAGCUUGCCUUCUCGAGCCACCCUAAAGCUGGGAUGGAGCCUUGCAUCGAGUUUCAUGAAGGGAAUGAUGGAGGGAAAGUACGAAGCUCAGGAAAACAGAGCAAAGUUAAGCACGUCCUCAAUCCAUGGCCCCCAAUCCUCACCAUUCUGGGCAAGGCCUUUUCUCCUUUUUUUAACUUUGUUUUAUACAUUUCCUCUUCAUCCCUGGCUCCUCCUUGCCCCAGCCCCAAUACUAAUAUGUGCUUGGACAUGUGUGUAUAUCAAUACACUUGAAAUUUUAUGAUGUUAUAUUGUCUUUGUAUGCAUUUUAAAUAUGUAUGUAUAUAUAUGUGUGUGUGUGUAUAAAAGUAGACUGUGGAAUUCAUUCUUUUUCUUCUUUUUUCACUCAGCUCUAC